GCUACCAGCAACAACAAACCCACUGAAUUUUCACAUGACAACAAUAACAACAACCCAGUAUAAUCUCACGAGUGGGGUCUGGAGAGGUUAGUGUGUACGCAGACUUUAUCCCUACCUUUAAGAAUCCUACCUUUAAGAAGACAGAGAGGUUAUUUUCGAAAGGUGCAAAUGUCACAUGCUACCAGGAACCGGAAAAAAGCUAAAAAUGAUAUACAAGAAACAGGACAAUGAAGAGGAAAUGGUGAACCAAUAAAGCCUCGUUACCAAAUAAAACCUGUAACACUCCCAAAGUUUCAAGACAAGGACACCCCUCAUUAGAACAAAUAACAGAGCUUAAGAAUACAUGCAAGGAAGAGAAAAGAGAACUCAGUGGGAAUCAAACAGUAAAUGUAACAGUAACAACACAGAUCUAAAACACAAACCACAUCAGUAAAAAACAAACAACA
This 446-nucleotide long non-coding RNA is filed under the name Nicotiana benthamiana. RNAcentral's name for it is "long non-coding RNA (NBEN_LNC018145)". The record is from RNAcentral. Lineage: Eukaryota; Viridiplantae; Streptophyta; Magnoliopsida; Solanales; Solanaceae.